This 159-nucleotide ribosomal RNA is filed under the name Ophiostoma montium. RNAcentral's name for it is "5.8S ribosomal RNA". It matches the Rfam family "5.8S ribosomal RNA". Rfam says of the family: 5.8S ribosomal RNA (5.8S rRNA) is a component of the large subunit of the eukaryotic ribosome. It is transcribed by RNA polymerase I as part of the 45S precursor that also contains 18S and 28S rRNA. Functionally, it is thought that 5.8S rRNA may be involved in ribosome translocation. Lineage: Eukaryota; Fungi; Ascomycota; Sordariomycetes; Ophiostomatales; Ophiostomataceae. The record is from RNAcentral.
AAAACUUUCAACAACGGAUCUCUUGGCUCUGGCAUCGAUGAAGAACGCAGCGAAAUGCGAUACGUAAUGCGAAUUGCAGAAUUCAGCGAGUCAUCGAAUCUUUGAACGCACAUUGCGCCCGCCAGUAUUCUGGCGGGCAUGCCUGUCCGAGCGUCAUUU